This 2325-nucleotide ribosomal RNA is filed under the name bacterium BMS3Abin14. RNAcentral's name for it is "bacterial LSU rRNA". It matches the Rfam family "Bacterial large subunit ribosomal RNA", at positions 3 to 2232 of the family's 2925-position model. The record is from RNAcentral.
UCAAGCUAUUAAGGGCGUACGGUGGAUGCCUUGGCGCCAAGAGGCGAUGAAGGGCGUGGUAAGCUGCGAUAAGCUUCGGUAAGCCGCUAAACAGGCUUUGACCCGGAGAUUCCCGAAUGGGGAAACCCGGCUCCGGUCAUGCGGAGUCAUCCCGUGCUGAAUACAUAGGUGCGGGAAGCUAACCGGGGGAACUGAAACAUCUAAGUACCCCGAGGAAGAGAAAGCAAAUGCGAUUCCCUGAGUAGCGGCGAGCGAAACGGGAUCAGCCCAAACCGGAUGAAUGUAAGCCCAUGCGCGUUGUUCAUCCGGGGUUGUGGGACCUGCCAUGCAGGUGUAUGGACCUGUGAGGGAGUUACAAAUUUUUACUCUAGUCGAACGGCCUGGAAAGGCCGACCAGAGACGGUGACAGUCCGGUAGACGAAAGGGUAAAAACUCCCGGCGUGGUUCCCGAGUACCGCGGGACACGAGGAACCCUGUGGGAAUCUGGGAGGACCAUCUCCCAAGGCUAAAUACUCCUUGGCGACCGAUAGUGAACCAGUACCGUGAGGGAAAGGUGAAAAGGACUCCUGGCGGAGAGUGAAAUAGAACCUGAAACCGUAUGCCUACAAGUUGUGGGAGCCCUAUGUUUCCGUCCUGGAUGGGAACAGGGUGACCGCGUGCCUUUUGUAUAAUGAGCCAACGAGUUACUGUACGUAGCGAGGUUAAGCCGGAGAGGUGGAGCCGUAGCGAAAGCGAGUCUGAACAGGGCGAUUCAGUUGCGUGUAGUAGACCCGAAACCGGGUGAUCUAUCCAUGGCCAGGGUGAAGUCUCGGUAACACGAGAUGGAGGCCCGAACCCACUGAGGUUGAAAACUCAGGGGAUGAGCUGUGGAUAGGGGUGAAAGGCCAAUCAAACCCGGAAAUAGCUGGUUCUCCCCGAAAUAUAUUUAGGUAUAGCCUUGCGUAUGGAUCGUGGUGGUAGAGCACUGAAUGGACUAGGGGGCCUACCAGCCUACCAAACCCAAUCAAACUCCGAAUGCCACGAUUCCUCAGCGCAGGAGUCAGCCAGUGGGAGAUAACUUCCAUUGACGAGAGGGAAACAACCCAGACCGCCGGCUAAGGUCCCGAAGUACUAGCUAAGUGGGAAAGGAUGUGAAAUUGCUCUGACAGCCAGGAGGUUGGCUUAGAAGCAGCCACCCUUUAAAGAAAGCGUAACAGCUCACUGGUCGAGUGGUUUUGCGCCGAAAAUGUAACGGGGCUUAAGCUAGUCACCGAAGCCGCGGAUUCAGCCCGUUUCGACGGGUUGAGUGGUAGGGGAGCGUUCCAUGUUGGCUGAAGCUGGACCGUGAGGACUAGUGGACGACAUGGAAGUGAGUAUGUUGGCAUGAGUAACGAUAAAGCCGGUGAGAAACCGGCUCGCCGAAAACCCAAGGUUUCCUGGGGAAGGGUAAUCCGCCCAGGGUCAGUCGGCCCCUAAGCCGAGGCUGAAAAGCGUAGGCGAUGGGAAACAGGUUAAUAUUCCUGUACCAGUCGGAUGUCGUUUGUACGAUGGGGUGACGCAGGAGGGUAGGCCAUCCAGCGAAUGGAAAUGCUGGUCCAAGCACGUAGGGGGACGUUCCAGGCAAAUCCGGAAUGUCAUUAACCCUGAGAUGCGAUGGGGAGGCCGUAAGGCCGCAAACUGGUUGAUCCCACGCUGCCAAGAAAAACCUCUAAGGAGAUAUCCGGUUGACCGUACCGAAAACCGACUCAGGUGGGUGAGGAGAGAAUCCUAAGGCGCUUGAGUGAACCCUCGUUAAGGAACUCGGCAAAAUAGCUCCGUAACUUCGGGAGAAGGAGUGCCCCCAUUAGGUGAAGCCCCUUGCGGGCGGAGCUGAGGGGGGUCGCAGUGACUAGGCCCAUGCGACUGUUUACUAAAAACACAGGACUCUGCUAAGUCGUAAGACGAUGUAUAGGGUCUGACGCCUGCCCGGUGCCGGAAGGUUAAUGGGAGAUGUUAUCCUGGGCUUGUCUCAGGAGAAGCAUUGAACUGAAGCCCCGGUAAACGGCGGCCGUAACUAUAACGGUCCUAAGGUAGCGAAAUUCCUUGUCGGGUAAGUUCCGACCUGCACGAAUGGCGUAACGAUAUGGGCACUGUCUCAACGAGGGACUCAGUGAAAUUACAGUGGCGGUGAAGAUGCCGUCUACCCGCAGAAAGACGGAAAGACCCCGUGAACCUUUACUACAGCUUGACAGUGAAUCUAGGGACAGUAUGUGUAGGAUAGGUGGGAGGCUUUGAAACCUUGACGCUAGUUGGGGUGGAGCCGACCUUGAAAUACCACCCUUAUUGUUCUUGGGUUCUAACCUGGGC